Molecule: ribosomal RNA, 373 nt
Filed under: uncultured bacterium
Lineage: Bacteria
Description: bacterial SSU rRNA
Rfam family: Bacterial small subunit ribosomal RNA
Source: RNAcentral
GGGGGGGGCAAGCGUUGUUCGGAAUUACUGGGCGUAAAGGGUUCGUAGGUGGCCCGCUAAGUCACACGUGAAAUCCCUCAGCUCAACUGGGGAACUGCGUGUGAGACUGGCAGGCUUGAGGGCAGGAGAGGAACGCGGAAUUCCAGGUGUAGCGGUGAAAUGCGUAGAUAUCUGGAGGAACACCGGUGGCGAAGGCGGCGUUCUGGACUGUCUCUGACACUGAUGAACGAAAGCCAGGGGAGCAAACGGGAUUAGAUACCCCGGUAGUCCUGGCCCUAAACGAUGAAUGCUUGGUGUGACGGGUAUCGAUCCCUGUCGUGCCGCAGUUAACGCGUUAAGCAUUCCGCCUGGGGAGUACGGUCGCAAGGCUGAA